CCGCGUGUGAAGCCGCGCCGCGCGCUUCUGCGUAGCCGAGCCGCGUCUCCCUCCUGUUGCAAGCCGAGCCGCACGCGUAAAUCCCUGUUGCAAGCCGAGCCGCACGCGUAAAUUCCUGUACCGAGCCGAGCCGCGCCUGCGCCAAGCCGAACCGGUCCCUGUCCUCUUCCAGCCGAGCCGCCAAGACUAAUUUGGCUCCAUCCACCUAAAUUUUGGGACGUCUUGGACCAAGUAAUUGCUGCAGCGCGGGAUUUCUUCAGUAGGGGCUCGAGCACUGCAACCUCUUUCUAGGUUAGGACCUCGUCGCUUGGAAAGCGUACUGCCUCGCGGUUAGGACUCGACAAGUAAAUCUCCAGGUAGAGGACGAGGCAAGGGCAAGGGCAAGCUGGCGAGCGACCCGAAGUGACCGUGGCGGGCCAUAGGGACUACUGCUUCCGCUUAUCCUUAUUUUAGACUUUCAUAGCUGAGUUUGAGUACUUUUCAUUACUUA
Molecule: long non-coding RNA, 490 nt
Organism: Cucumis melo (muskmelon)
Lineage: Eukaryota; Viridiplantae; Streptophyta; Magnoliopsida; Cucurbitales; Cucurbitaceae
Exons: 4
Source: RefSeq, a predicted model, not a curated record